This 457-nucleotide ribosomal RNA is filed under the name uncultured bacterium. RNAcentral describes it as "partial 16S ribosomal RNA". It matches the Rfam family "Bacterial small subunit ribosomal RNA", at positions 338 to 795 of the family's 1533-position model. The record is from RNAcentral.
CCUACGGGUGGCAGCAGUGAGGAAUAUUGGUCAAUGGGCGGGAGCCUGAACCAGCCAAGUCGCGUGAGGGAUGACGGUCCUACGGAUUGUAAACCUCUUUUGCCGGGGAGCAAGCGUGCGUUCGUGAACGCGCGUCGAGAGUACCCGGAGAAAAAGCAUCGGCUAACUCCGUGCCAGCAGCCGCGGUAAUACGGAGGAUGCGAGCGUUAUCCGGAUUUAUUGGGUUUAAAGGGUGCGUAGGCGGGAUGCCAAGUCAGCGGUAAAAAUGCGGUGCUCAACGCCGUCGAGCCGUUGAAACUGGGGUUCUUGGGUGGGCGAGAAGUAUGCGGAAUGCGUGGUGUAGCGGUGAAAUGCUUAGAGAUCAUACAGAACACCGAUUGCGAAGGCAGCUUACCAAGCUACUUCUGACGUUGAGGCACGAAAGCGUGGGGAGCAAACAGGAUUAGCCCCAGUAGUC